Non-coding RNA from Triticum urartu, 2571 nucleotides. The record is from RefSeq and is a predicted model, not a curated record. Lineage: Eukaryota; Viridiplantae; Streptophyta; Magnoliopsida; Poales; Poaceae.
CGAUUCCAUCUAUCGUUUCCGCCGCCGCCGCCGCUAAAAAACUCCAUCGAUCCCCAUCCUUGCUUGCCCACUCCCAUCGAUCGUUGCCACCGCCGCCGCCGCCGUCCGACGGGGGAGACGUCGCCGCCGCCGCCGCCGCCGUCCGAGGGGGAGACGUCGCCGCCGCCGCUGCAAGGUAUGGCGGUUUGAAUCCCGCCCCCGCCUCUGCAAGGCAGGGCGGUUUCAAUCCCACCGCCGCCGAACUCCGGGAAUCGCCGCCGCCAAGUCUUCAGGGCAGGGCGGUUUCAAACCCUGCCGACGAACUCCGGGAUACGCAUAAUCGUCGCUGCCGCCCCCUCCCCCGGCUGCCCCAUGGUCUUCUAUCUCUCCCAACUCCGCUAUCGCGCCCCGUCUUCCGUCUCUGCAUGAAUCGCUGUUGUGGCAGCCACUCCCCAUGGCGGCCAUCCGGGCACACCGUGUCCGGGAUGAUGGAGGUGAUGUCGGCCAGUUCCCUGUUUUCGUUGGCAUCUUCUGCGAUGGGACCCGUGGGGGCAGGUCGCACGCUGCUCAUCUGCGUCGAUGGCGUCGGCGUCGUCCUUCCCCUGCCAAGCAUGGCGGCUCCUUGGCUGGAUCACAGUGAUGAUACAGUUGGCUCGGCGGUGGCUAGGGAUCUCGCAGGCUGGCGUUUAUUUGAUGUCUGGGUGUUCCAAUCGUGAUGGAAUGGACGUAUAAUGUACGGUAUAAGAAUUUGGACGAGGCUCAUCUGCGUGGAUGGUUGUGGCUUGGCCGCCGGGCACACAAUCCAUUGAUUCACACAUAAGACCGUAGCCAUCUACACCAAGGCUCCUCUGCCCUACCGAGUCUUGCAAGCGAUCGUCGUAAGAAAUAUUCCGUGUGAUGCCGGCAUGUGUUGUUGUUGCACUGUCGCAACCAUCCAUCUACACACCAAAUGUCAAAACCGAGUCGCGGUGUUCACAAUGCUGGGCAUUAUUUAUAUAGAAGGACGAGGAGGAAGAUUUGGAUGACCAUAACCACAAUGGCAAGGGCAGCAACAUGGUCGUCACCUGCAAUGCUGAUGGGUGUUGACAUUAUGAUGUUUGGUUUAUUUGUUGAAAGUUACAGCCCAUGUUUCAUGAUUUAUUUGCCACCUGUUAAUCAUGAUAUUUUGAAGUGCUCUGACAAUUGCUUGCUGUCUGCAUCUCUUACUUUUCAACUUGCUGCAUAUACAGAUAUACACCAUUAGAAUCUGUUUGUACAAUAUAUUUACUUAUUCAACAUGCUUCGGUUGCGCUUCUUUGAAAAUCCAGUUGUAGAUUGCAGUGAAGCCCCAUUUAGAUCUUGGCUAUAGUAUUAUUCUUGUCUUAUGACUCGUGACAGAUUGAUAUGUGAUACAUGACAUAGCAUAUGUUGUACCGUGGUAGUCACAUUUGGUGGUAGUUCUGAUUGUUUGCUAGAUUACGAGAUAAGACCAAGUGCUUCUGCAACUCGGUUGCGGUUUUGAUAGGAACAUGAAGACUUGUGCCAUGCCAUGGAGCAUGUUUGAUUAAAAGGACAUAGUUGCUCCAAUAUAUUGAGCAGGGAAGAAGUUUGUUACAAGUGUUUUAUAGAGUUGACGCCAGAGACAUCCGACGGGAUACAUUGGUGAAGGAAUCGACGAAGAAGCUUCCGUUCAGCAUGGUAUCUCAAUGGAAGAAUAUCCGAAGCAAACCUCCGCUACUUCUCUGUUCCCUUUCAUUUGUCGUGGGAAGACCUUAGGAAGGUAGGAAGACCUUAGGAAGAGCGGGUGGGAGGAAGAGAGGCAUGUGCUAUAGAUGUAGGCGAACAAUGGUCCUUGGAAAUUAUUAGUACUCUACAAAAUGUCUGUCCCCUAUGAUGCCUACAAUGAGCGAGAGAGGGUGGAAGGAAGGGAGAGCGGAGGAAGGAAGAUGGGGAUAUAUGUAGAGAGAGAGGGAGAUAGGAGGAAGGGAGAUGGGCAUAUAUGUAGAGAGAGGAAGAUCAGAGAGGGAGGGGAGAUUUACAGGACGAUUGUCGUUGAGCCACUCAAAUAUUUUCGUGUUUCAAUGACGCGUGGAGGACGACGGUCACGAGCGCAUUGUCGCAAGCUCACAGGAGGGAGGCACACAUCUCAUCCAAUAUAAAAGCACGCUCCGAAGAAUCCCUAACCCUCCAUGGAGCCAUUGCUAGGGGGCGUCGAGAUCAACGCCACCCAUCACGACCACCGAGAUGUAGAAGUGCGGUGAUUUCUUGCCUGGCGUAUAACAAUGUGUGUUCAAUGGAUCGCCUCUUCUCACGCACAAGUCUCAGAGGGAGACAACGACAGCUAUUCAGAAUAACUACAACAAAAUUGUGACACAAGUGGUUAGUGGGAGAAGGAACCUGAUACCGCAGCCGAUUCUGCAGCAAGGGUGGUGCGUAGAAGAUAGUUGUAGCAAGCAUAUAUAUAAGUCACUCUGGAAAAAGUGUGUAGUUAUUGUUGUGAUAGAGAUCCAUUCCAAUAUUUUCACUGAUAUGCAUGGUUGAAUAGUACUAUGUGUGAUAUGUGAGAGUAAUGUAAUACAAAAUGAAACAUGGUGGACAGGGCUUCGUGACUGA